Molecule: ribosomal RNA, 450 nt
Filed under: uncultured bacterium
Lineage: Bacteria
Description: partial 16S ribosomal RNA
Rfam family: Bacterial small subunit ribosomal RNA
Source: RNAcentral
GUGGGGAAUUUUGGACAAUGGGCGCAAGCCUGAUCCAGCAAUGCCGCGUGCAGGAAGAAGGCCUUCGGGUUGUAAACUGCUUUUGUACGGAACGAAACGGUCCUGGCUAAUACCCGGGGCUAAUGACGGUACCGUAAGAAUAAGCACCGGCUAACUACGUGCCAGCAGCCGCGGUAAUACGUAGGGUGCGAGCGUUAAUCGGAAUUACUGGGCGUAAAGCGUGGGCAGGCGGUGCUGUAAGACAGGCGUGAAAUCCCCGGGCUCAACCUGGGAAUUGCGCUUGUGACUGCAGUGCUGGAGUGCGGCAGAGGGGGAUGGAAUUCCGCGUGUAGCAGUGAAAUGCGUAGAUAUGCGGAGGAACACCGAUGGCGAAGGCAAUCCCCUGGGCCUGCACUGACGCUCAUGCACGAAAGCGUGGGGAGCAAACAGGAUUAGAUACCCUGGUAGUCC